RNAcentral lists this small RNA (856 nucleotides) under Pan troglodytes (chimpanzee). RNAcentral's name for it is "retained intron". Lineage: Eukaryota; Metazoa; Chordata; Mammalia; Primates; Hominidae. The record is from RNAcentral.
AAGGGAAUGAAGGCAGGAGAGGGGCUUAUUCCUGCCCUUGAAGGCAGAACCCAGAAAUGUACACAUCAAUUCUGCUAGUGUUCCAUUGGCCAUUAUUUGGUCAUAAGGCUAACCUAGCUGCAAGGGACACUGGGAGAUGUAGUAUUUGGCUGGGCAGCUAUGGUCCUGGUUAAAUAGGCUGUUUACUAUAAGGAAGUGGAGGGGUUUGUACAACACACUAGCAGUCUUUAAUCGCAAAUGGGACCCUGAUGCUUUCACUGUGUCUCUGCCCCUCAGCCAGUUUCAAGCGCCCGGUAGUGAUCCUGGGACCCGUGGCCGACAUUGCUAUGCAGAAGUUGACUGCUGAGAUGCCUGACCAGUUUGAAAUCGCAGAGACUGUGUCCAGGACCGACAGCCCCUCCAAGAUCAUCAAACUAGACACCGUGCGGGUGAUUGCAGAAAAAGACAAGCAUGCGCUCCUGGACGUGACCCCCUCCGCCAUCGAGCGCCUCAACUAUGUGCAGUACUACCCCAUCGUGGUCUUCUUCAUCCCCGAGAGCCGGCCGGCCCUCAAGGCACUGCGCCAGUGGCUGGCGCCUGCCUCCCGCCGCAGCACCCGUCGCCUCUACGCACAAGCCCAGAAGCUGCGAAAACACAGCAGCCACCUCUUCACAGCCACCAUCCCUCUGAAUGGCACAAGUGACACCUGGUACCAAGAGCUCAAGGCCAUCAUUCGAGAGCAGCAGACGCGGCCCAUCUGGACGGCGGAAGAUCAGCUGGAUGGCUCCUUGGAGGACAACCUAGACCUCCCUCACCGCGGCCUGGCCGACAGCUCUGCUGACCUCAGCUGCGACAGCCGUGUUAACAGCGACUACGA